Molecule: ribosomal RNA, 406 nt
Filed under: uncultured bacterium
Lineage: Bacteria
Description: partial 16S ribosomal RNA
Rfam family: Bacterial small subunit ribosomal RNA
Source: RNAcentral
AUUGAACGCUGGCGGCAGGCUUAACACAUGCAAGUCUCGCGAGCGGCGGACGGGUGAGUAAUGUCUGGGAAACUGCCUGAUGGAGGGGGAUAAAUACUGGAAACGGUAGCUAAUACCGCAUACCCUCAUCUGUGCCACGAUGGGAUUAGCUAGUAGGUUGGGGAAUGGCUCACCUAGGCGACGAUCCCUAGCUGGUCUGAGAGGAUGACCAGCCACACUGGAAAUGAGACACGGUCCAGACGCCUACGGGAGGCAGCAGUGGGGAAUAUUGCACAAUGGGCGCAAGCCUGAUGCAGCCAUGCCGCGUGUGUGAAGAAGGCCUUCGGGUUGUAAAGCACUUUCAGCGAGGAGGCGUUACUCGCAGAAGAAGCACCGGCUAACUCCGUGCCAGCAGCCGCGGUAAUUC